This 477-nucleotide ribosomal RNA is filed under the name uncultured bacterium. RNAcentral's name for it is "bacterial SSU rRNA". It matches the Rfam family "Bacterial small subunit ribosomal RNA", at positions 335 to 802 of the family's 1533-position model. The record is from RNAcentral.
ACUCCUACGGGAGGCAGCAGUGGGGAAUAUUGCACAAUGGGGGAAACCCUGAUGCAGCCAUGCCGCGUGUGUGAAGAAGGCCUUCGGGUUGUAAAGCACUUUCAGUAGGGAGGAAGGUAGUGUAGUUAACACCUGCAUUAUUUGACGUUACCUACAGAAGAAGCACCGGCUAACUCCGUGCCAGCAGCCGCGGUAAUACGGAGGGUGCGAGCGUUAAUCGGAAUUACGUGGGCGUAAAGCGCAUGCAGGCGGCCUGUUAAGUCAGAUGUGAAAGCCCGGGGUCUUAACCGUCGGAAUUGCAUUUGAAACUGGCAGGCUAGAGUCUUGUAGAGGGGUUAGAAUUUCAGGUGUAGCGGUGAAAUGCGUAGAGAUCUGAAGGAAUACCGAGUGGCGAAGGCGGCCCCCUGGACAAAGACUGACGCUCAGAUGCGAAAGCGUGGGAGCAAACAGGAUUAGAGUACCCCUGGUAGACUGUCA